RNAcentral lists this non-coding RNA (26 nucleotides) under Homo sapiens (human). The record is from RNAcentral. Lineage: Eukaryota; Metazoa; Chordata; Mammalia; Primates; Hominidae.
AGUGAAGCAAGGAGGAAAUUGCAGUG